UCCCUCAGAAUGGUUGGAAAUCAUUCGUAGAGUGCAAAGGCAUAAGGGAGCUUGACUGCGAGACCUACAAGUCGAGCAGGGACGAAAGUCGGGCUUAGUGAUCCGGUGGUUCCGCAUGGAAGGGCCAUCGCUCAACGGAUAAAAGCUACCCCGGGGAUAACAGGCUUAUCUCCCCCAAGAGUCCACAUCGACGGGGAGGUUUGGCACCUCGAUGUCGGCUCAUCGCAUCCUGGGGCUGUAGUCGGUCCCAAGGGUUGGGCUGUUCGCCCAUUAAAGCGGUACGCGAGCUGGGUUCAGAACGUCGUGAGACAGUUCGGUCCCUAUCCGUCGUGGGCGUAGGAAAUUUGAGAGGAGCUGUCCUUAGUACGAGAGGACCGGGAUGGACGCACCGCUGGUGUACCAGUUGUUCUGCCAAGGGCAUAGCUGGGUAGCUAUGUGCGGAAGGGAUAAGUGCUGAAAGCAUCUAAGCAUGAAGCCCCCCUCAAGAUGAGAUUUCCCAUAGCGUAAGCUAGUAAGAUCCCUGAAAGAUGAUCAGGUUGAUAGGUUCGAGGUGGAAGCAUGGUGACAUGUGGAGCUGACGAAUACUAAUAGAUCGAGGACUUAACCAUAUA
This 611-nucleotide ribosomal RNA is filed under the name Bacillus thuringiensis serovar finitimus. RNAcentral's name for it is "bacterial LSU rRNA". It matches the Rfam family "Bacterial large subunit ribosomal RNA", at positions 2318 to 2925 of the family's 2925-position model. Lineage: Bacteria; Bacillati; Bacillota; Bacilli; Caryophanales; Bacillaceae. The record is from RNAcentral.